UUUAUUAUAGCAAAGAUAGAUAAUCAUUUAUAAGUUAAACCAAGAGUUCUGGAGCUCCAAGUUAUUCUUGUGUUUUCCUCAUCAAGAUCUUAUGUUAACAGUGGAUCUGGCUGUCGGGUCAGUCUAACAUCAAUCUGAAAACUCGUAUACAGACUCUUUCACCGUCUGCUUGACAAAACUCCAAGAUUUACCAGGGAAAUGGAUGGAGGAACACAUCUUCUCUUUCCCAAUGGUACAUGUGUGACUGUGGGCAAAGCCAUAUGGAGAGAACCAAUGGCCAUAAAGAAAAAAAUCUUUGGAGUUGCUCGGUGGCUCAGGGGAUUAAGGAUCCAGUAUUGUUAUUGCUGUGGCUCGGGUCACUGCUGUGGCGCAGGCUUGAUCCCUGGCACCAGAACUUCCUCAUGCCACAGGUGAGGCAAGCAAGCAAGCAAGCAAGAAAGAAAGAAAGAAAGAAAGAGGGAGGGAAGGAAGGAAAUGAAUAAAAGAAAAGAAAAAAAACUUUUACAUGUAAUUUCUCAUUUAAGAAAAUAACAUUAAUUUUUUAUUAAUUGCUUUUCAUGGGUCAUCUCAUUUAGUCAUCUCAAAAAAUGUGCAGGAGGUAUUAGUUUUAUCACACUAACAGAUGAGGAAGCAGAGGCAGACAACUUGUAGAAGGUCACCUGGUCCCUUGGUAGAUAGUGGAGCUGGGAUGUAAGUGCAGCCAGUCUGGCUCUGGUCCCCAUGCUCUUCACAACUACACUGCAGCUGCCAGGAAGACUCCUAAGGUCGGAAGAGCUGCUGGUUAAAAAAAGACAAGACAAGAUUGGUACAAUGGGAAAAACCAACAACCAGGACCUGGGUUUUUGGAAAUUAGCUAGAUUUAUGGGAUACUCACCAUGAUGUCUAGACAAACACUGACAGAAGAGGUCUAGAUAUGAUCAUUACCGGGAAAGUAACCACCCUUAAGCACUUAGGAAGGAGAAGGGGAGACAGCUGGAGUCUUGGGCAUUUGACAAGCUGAGUAGUUGCUAGGUGCCAGGCGUGCUUAGGAGCAUUGUUUUUAGACCUCUUGACAACAGAAAGAAGUAGAUAUUAAAGCCCCAUUUAAAAAAAAUGUAAUAGAUUUUGUUUAUUAGAGAAGCUUGAGGUGUACAGAAAAAACUGUGCAUAUAGUAUAGAAUUUCCAUAGUUCCCAUAUACACCCCUCCCCUCAGUUUACCUUAUUGUUAGCAUCUUGCCUGAGCUUGGUGCCUUUGUUACAAUUGAUGAGCUGGUAUGAUACUUCGUUAGUAACUAAAGCCCACCAUUUACAUUAGGGCCCACUCUUGUGUUACCCGGUUCUGCAAGUCUUGACAAACAUAUAGUGCCAUGUAUCUACUAAUACAGUAUCUCGGAGAAUAAUUUACUGUCCUCAGAAAUCCCCGUGCUCUACCCAUUCACCCCCUCUCUCUCUUUCUUCCCUCUGUCAACUGAUUUUUUUUUUUUUUUUUUACUAUAUCUAUAGUUUUGCCUUUUCCAGAAUGCCAUGUAGUUGGAAUCACACCUUUUUCAGGCUGACUUCUGGCUUUUUUCAUUUAGCAAUGUGCAUCUCAUAUAGAUUGAUAGCUCAUUAAUUUUUUACAGUAUAAUAUUCCAUUGUAUGGGGGAGUUCCUGUCAUGGCACAGUGGAAACAAAUCUGACUAGGAACAUGAGUUUGCGGGUUCGAUCCCUGGCCUUGCUCAGUGGGUUAAGGAUCUGGCGAAAGAAAUAGAGCCAGACCUUCUGGUCAAAGGCUAGGACUUUCCUCCUCUAUAACGGUUGAGGAGGAUUAGGAAAAAACCCGGGUGAGUGGCAGAUAAUAGUGUAAACUGAGGCACUUGGUGAGUCAACCCACAUGUUUCAUUUUCCUUCUGAAGUUGUCUAGUUGUAUUUUCAUUGUGCAAAAUGGAUGCUUCUAGAAGAGUCAACCCCAGCGGAGUCAUAUAGCUCCCUAAAAGUGAGAAAAGUUGCUUCAGGAAAGACAAGUACUCUAUGCCCUGGGCCCCAGGUUGACAAAGUGAAAUAUCUUUGGAGCACUGACAGCUUAUUAUUACCUGAGGGAGUAUUGCUUUCAGGAGCCCUGCAAAGGAUCUAUCGACUGCACAAAUCACCAUCCAAACUCCCCUCAGGACCUCCAUUCCUCUCAUUUAAGGGAUUUGAAUUCCUGUUGAGGAUCCAACCCUCUGGGAAGGAAAGCAGUUCUGCUUUAACUGUGAAUAAGGCACCAAGAGCCAAGUGAGAAGGUGAGAAGGUGAAAAAUUGGGACUCAAGGAAAAGAGGAUGAGAGAGAGAGCGCAGGAUGGGGCUGGAUGCUAAGUAGGAGUCGCUCUUCCCUAAACUAAGCUGGCUCCUGCCUUCCACAUGGAGGGGACCACACCAGUGUAAACCCUUUGGGUCUCCCGUGUCCUAACUCAUGGAAGCAGAAUGACCAUUGAUUAGUGAAUCAGUGAAACCCAGCCUGCUUCUCUCCUCUCCUCUUCAGAGUGAGUCACUGGGUACAGAAAUUUCCCGUCCUUCUCUCUGUAGUACGUGUAACAUGUGAGGGCGUCUGGCCAUCCAGCAAAGCCUGUGCCUGUGGCUGGGGGUAGGUAGAGGUCUGAUUAUCUCUGUGUUCUAUAUUAGGAAGGGAUGGCGCAGGUAAAAGCCACGUUCCCUAAUAUCAGCUUUGCAAGUGGUAAAGGUGACAUUUUGGUCUAUGUCUGCUUUACUAUUUUAUCUGUUUCUAGUUGGUUCAGAAUGAAUGAGGAAAAGGAAAGUGAUAUUUUCUGGGUGCUCACCAAACCCAAUUCAUGGGAAACCAGAGACCACCUUUAUCCAUUUACAAAUUUCCUUAUUUAUGGCUUUUUCCCCAAGGAUGCCUUGAACUUUGACAAUAGGAGAUGGAGUAAGGAGUUAGAGGAUGACAGAGAGGUCUGAGGAGGGUCACCAAUAGUAUAACUACUGUGGCCUCAUUGAAUUCUUAUGGAGGUAGUAGCUGUGACUUUCAUAUUGUCACAUCCAUCUUAUAGACAAAGAGUAGGAGGACUCACCAAGGUCACAUAGCUAGUAAGGGGCACAUCUGAUUCUUGCUGAUUCCAACCCCUCUGCUUGCCCACUGCAUUUCUCCGGGAAGGGUUUGUGUCUUCUUUCUCCCGUGUUCUUUGCAUCUCCCCUUCCCUUUCAUCCCUGCUGCCACUUCCCUACCUCGGGCUCAUGUCUGGCUUGUCACCCUAGGCCCCCUCAACCUCUGUCCCUCCCUUCCACAAGACUAGCUCUCCUAAGCUCAUUUAAUAUGUGCCUUUUCAGAUCCCAGAUCAUUCUCAUGGGCUACAUCAGCUCCUAAAAUGUGAUUGUCCCCUGAAGAAACGGAAUAUUCAUCAGUAGCUCCAAUUUAGAGCCCCAAACCUGACCUGGUAUGAACUAUUUACACUGACGUCACGCAAGUCAUUUCAACCUUCUUUGAAUAAAAACACUCAUUUCCCCCCUUCUGAUAGUUAUGAUAAUCCACUCAAUGAUCCCAUUUCUUCAUGCAGAAUUGUAAACUGUCCCCUUGUGGGAGCACCACACACCCUGCACUGUUUGCUUGUCCUUGGACAUCUCUGUAAACUCCUCAAGGAAGGAGAUCAGAGAUGUAUCCCCUGAGCCCAGCAGAGUGCAGGGAAGAUAGAAAUUGCUCCACAGAUACCUGUUAAGUGAAUUAAAUGAGUUCCCUUUUGCAUUUCUUACAAUAUCAGGCAUGAUAGUUCCAACUUAAUAUGUGGUUCUCAAAUGCUUUUGAAUAAAUGAAAAAAUACUUAUUUAAAUACUGCAAAUAAAUAAAUAAAUGAGAAGGCAAC
RNAcentral lists this long non-coding RNA (3813 nucleotides) under Sus scrofa (pig). RNAcentral describes it as "lncRNA (ENSSSCG00035023227.1, ENSSSCG00065005296.1)". Lineage: Eukaryota; Metazoa; Chordata; Mammalia; Artiodactyla; Suidae. The record is from RNAcentral.